RNAcentral lists this long non-coding RNA (1353 nucleotides) under Homo sapiens (human). RNAcentral's name for it is "HSALNT0211908". The record is from RNAcentral. Lineage: Eukaryota; Metazoa; Chordata; Mammalia; Primates; Hominidae.
UGGCUUUCUUCCUCUACUCAGGCCUUGUCGUGAACAUGGCUUGGUCUUCCCCUAAACUCCACUUCUCUGUUUGCCAGCACUUUUCUUCUGACUCAGUGCUCAAAAUCCUAACUGUAAAACCCCAGGGAGAUGAUCUUAGGCAUUUGAGGAAGAAUCUUAGUUGGUAAACUAACUUCUCUAUCUUCAUUCCUCAGGUCUCUCCACUGCCUCCUACUCACUACCUCAAGAUCCUUGAUUGGAAAAAGCAAAUGAGGGUCUGGAAAGAGAUCAUUUCCUCAGAAGACCUGAGGAGAAAAUGCAUGAUUAGAAUAGGUGUCUGUUUUCUGAGAAUGUGGUUUGAAGAUGAAUGGCUGAGUAGAAAACACUUUCAGAUCCCCACAUAGGCAACGGCAGAAAAGCUCCAAGUGUGAUAUUACAAAUAUGUAUUGUCAUCGAAGACAGAAAUAUUUGCCUUGUCCACCCAAAAGCACAAUGAUCGUAUGGGUUGAUUGUAUUUUCUUCUCUAUGUAUUAUGUGCAGAAUUUCCCUUCAACAAAAGAAGGGAGGAAAGAAAACUAACCCUGCAUUGUAGGCUUCUGCUCUAUUUUAGGAGAGGAAAGAUACUCAAAGACAAAAACCAGCAAGAAAUGGCAUUUGACUUGCAAGCCUUUAGGAGAUGUGCAUAAACAGAGAAGCUCAAAGGGAGGCAGAGAAACCAGGAUGCCAUCGUUGAUUAUGUCCUUCCAGCAACUGCAACCGUGCCUCAAUUUGCAGGGAAAUACAUUCCUCUUCAUGGACCCUGUUCUGGGACCCAUAGCAUGCUCCAGGCUGCAGCCCAGACAGGAAGGUGUCCAAUAUGUCUUUGAGUUCCAUCUUGGGGAUCUCAUGUGAUCUCUGGUGUGUUAGUGAGUGGGCAGGGCCCCUGGAUCCCAGCACUGACCUCAGUUACAUGAAGAGUCUGAGUCCAUGGCAGGAUCUGGGCCCACAGUCUUCUCACCAACCCAGAGGCAGAAACAGACUCUACAAGCAACAUGGAAUGGCAGUGCUUUGUAUCUACAUUUAUUAGUUUUUAAAAAAUUAUAAAAUCUGGCUGGGUACGGUGGCUCAUGGCUGUAAUCCCAGUGCUUUGGGUGGCCAAGGUGGGAGGUUCCCUUGAGCCCAGGAGUUAGAGACCAGCCUGGGCAACAUGGCAAAACCCUGUCUCGACAUGGCUAAAUAAAAAAAUUAGCCAGGCAUGCUGGUACACACCUGUAGUCCCAUCUACUUGGGAGGCUGAGGUGGGAGGAUCACCUAAGCUCAAGAGUCCAAGGUUACAGUGAGCUAUGAUUGUGUCACUGCACUCCAGCCUGGGCAACAGAGUGAAACUUUGACUCU